CUAACACAAGAUAUUUUCCAUCUGUUUUUCUCUAGAACCUUCUACUCCACUUCCCAUUUUUAUAUCACUCGGCUCUCACUCUCUUUCAUUAAUCCCCACAAAAUCCACCUUUAAAUCCUUUCAAAACCGUUAAUCUAAGUAUAACUGAAAAAGUAAAAGGAAAUGGAGAAAGGAGUGAGAGUGAAGCGGGAGGAAGAGGACGUUGCCACCGCCGUGACGGCGGCGCCGCUACCAAUGGAGGGGCUGCAUGACGUGGGUCCACCACCGUUUUUGAGCAAGACGUAUGAAAUGGUGGAAGACCCUUCAACGGAUGCAGUAAUUUCAUGGAGCAGAGCAAGAAAUAGCUUUAUUGUUUGGGAUUCUCAUAAGUUUUCAACCACUUUGCUGCCUAAGCAUUUCAAGCACAGUAAUUUCUCCAGUUUCAUUCGCCAGCUUAACACAUAUGGUUUUAGAAAAGUGGAUCCGGAUAGAUGGGAAUUUGCGAAUGAAGGUUUUCUAGGCGGACAGAAGCAUCUUUUGAAGACCAUAAAGAGGAGGAGGAAUGUAGGUCAGAGCAUGAACCAACAAGGAUCCGGGCCGUGUAUUGAAAUAGGGUAUUAUGGAAUGGAGGAGGAGCUCGAAAGACUAAAGCGGGAUAAGAAUCUUUUGUGGACUGAAAUAGUUAAGCUUAGACAGCAACAGCAGAGUACUAGAAAUCAGAUCAUUGCAAUGGGAGAAAAAAUCGAAAGCACAGAGAGGAAACAAGAGCAGAUGAUGAGUUUCCUAGCCAAGAUUUUCAGCAAUCCGACUUUUCUCCAGCAAUACUUGGAUAAAUGUGUGCAAAGAAAAGAUAAACAACGCAUUGAAGUUGGGCAAAAGAGGAGACUAACUAUGACCCCCAGUAGUGAGAACCUUCAAGAUUUUGUAUCAGUUGCCAACGGAAGUGAUCAGCCUAUGAAUUACUCCACUCGAGAUCGUGAAACGGAGCUUACAAAUAUGGGAAGCGAUAUGGCAAUGCUGUUCUCUGCUGCAUUGGACAAUAAAUCAAGCAGCAACGCAAGGUCGGCUUCUGUUGUGACAGCAAGUGCAACCGAUAUGGAUCUAGUGCCUGAGAAUAUUUGGGAAGAGUUGCUCGGUGAAGAUCUUAUAUCCGGGGAUGGAGCAGAGGAAGUACUGGUUAUUGAUCAACCUGAGCUUGACGUAGAAGUUGAAGAUCUUGUUGGGACAACAUCUGAUUGGGGUUAAGAUGCAGAUCUACUUUCAUGAAGAUUUGAGGCAAUCUUUAGUAGGGAUCACACGGAUAUCAAAUGAUUGAAGCUCCUUGUGGAAACAACUUCUCUACCUUUACUAGGUAGGGUAAGGUUCGCGUACACACACUAUACGGUAAAGGUAGGGUAAGGUUUGCGUACACACACUAUACUAUGUUUGUUGUUGUUGUUGUUGUUGAUUGAAGCUCCUUGUGAUGUUCAACGGAGGUAGACCUAUGUGGAUAUUCCGUAAUCUAAUUUUGUUUAUUGGAUGAGUGGAUUUGCCACCUUGGGCAGUCUGGUGUUCUUUAACUUCUCAGUGUACGGCGGAGGUCUAUGCUGCAAGAUGCAAGUAUGCACCCCCUGUACUGUGUUACUGCACUCUCAAGAAGUAGUUGCUGUAAUCAGGGAAAGAUUUAUUUGAGCUGAGUCUUAUGGUUUUGAUAGAUUAUGGCCUGUGACUGCUGAAGUUCUAGGACUCGCUUUAAAGUGUUUCAGGUGGAAUAUUACGAUAGAGGUAUUUAGCCAUCAAAAAGUUUGAGAUAUGUGGUUGAGUUAUAGCUUCUAAGUGACAUUUGUAUAGUUAAGUGAUUUUUAUGUUAUAAACAGAUAAAAUAUGAUUUUACUAGAUAGUUUCGGAUAAAUGAGUGAUCGAUCAACUCAUGUAACAAUUAAUACAUGUUUUAUCGCUAAUUAUCCGCUAAAACUUAUAUUUUAUAA
Nicotiana attenuata is the source of this 1946-nucleotide RNA transcript. It is a transcript of the gene named heat shock factor protein HSF30, with no coding region annotated. The record is from RefSeq and is a predicted model, not a curated record. The transcript has 5 exons. NCBI's taxonomy places the organism in Eukaryota, Viridiplantae, Streptophyta, Magnoliopsida, Solanales, Solanaceae.